Molecule: ribosomal RNA, 462 nt
Filed under: uncultured bacterium
Lineage: Bacteria
Description: partial 16S ribosomal RNA
Rfam family: Bacterial small subunit ribosomal RNA
Source: RNAcentral
GACGAACGCUGGCGGCGUGCUUAACACAUGCAAGUCGAACGGUGAAGCCCUUCGGGGUGGAUCAGUGGCGAACGGGUGAGUAACACGUGAGCAACCUGCCCCUGGCUCUGGGACAACCACUGGAAACGGUGGCUAAUACCGGAUACGACCCGCCUCGGCAUCGAGUGUGGGUGGGAAGUUUGGCGGCUGGGGAUGGGCUCGCGGCCUAUCAGCUUGUUGGUGAGGUGGAGGCUUACCAAGGCCACGACGGGUAGCCGGCCUGAGAGGGCGACCGGCCACACUGGGACUGAGACACGGCCCAGACUCCUACGGGAGGCAGCAGUGGGGAAUAUUGCACAAUGGGCGAAAGCCUGAUGCAGCGACGCCGCGUGAGGGAUGACGGCCUUCGGGUUGUAAACCUCUUUCAGCUCCGAAGAAGCGAAAGUGACGGUAGGAGCAGAAGAAGCACCGGCUAACUACGUG